GAUUUUUCAGCUUUCAAUUACUGUUACUACUUUGCUGCUAAAUAUCAAUACUAUUGCGUUGCAGUUUUGGGCUAAAAUUUUAGUUCAGUUGGGUGCUAAUUUGGUCCUGUUGUUUUAUCAUUCCAGAAUAUGUAGAAGACAUGGAUUACUUUCAGUGGCAUCCAAAUCCAUCCUUGAAAUGCUCUUAAGUUCUUAAAUAACGCAUGGUAAUGUACUUAUGCUUUUCCUCCUGCAAAUUUGCAGCUAUCAAAUGAACCAAGACCAGCC
RNAcentral lists this long non-coding RNA (267 nucleotides) under Oryza brachyantha (malo sina). Its description in RNAcentral is "long non-coding RNA (OBRA_LNC003573)". The record is from RNAcentral. Lineage: Eukaryota; Viridiplantae; Streptophyta; Magnoliopsida; Poales; Poaceae.